This is a long non-coding RNA of Centropristis striata (black sea bass), 488 nucleotides long. RefSeq lists it as uncharacterized. Lineage: Eukaryota; Metazoa; Chordata; Actinopteri; Perciformes; Serranidae. The record is from RefSeq and is a predicted model, not a curated record. The transcript is spliced from 2 exons.
CAUGCCGGAGGUACAGCCAGGAGCCCCACCAAACCACCCGGGGAGGAGAUAAACAGCUCUCAGAUUAGGACGCUGUAAAUGUUCAGCUGCGACCUGACUGCUCCUGACUCCUGGCUACACUGAAAAAAGGUAGCAACUUGCCAACCACAAGGAAGCCCCGCCCUAAAUCCUCCUCUGCUUUAUGGUCUAUUUCACUCUCAAUGGGACCAUCAUUUAUUAAAUAAACAUCACGCUGCAUUGAAGAAGACUUCAAACCAAUGAUUGAGACCAUGAACUCAUUAUGAGUUUUUUUUAACAUAUUUUGACAGUAGAUAAUAUUUAUUUAAAAAACAGUUAAACCCCAAGUUGAGCAAAAAUCAGCAAGAUUCACGUAAGCAUUAUGAUUACGGCCAAGAAUUAUGUUGAUGUGCUGUACGUCCCCCUGUCCAGUUUUAUUAAAUACACCUGUGUUCACAUGCAGCUGAAAUUAAAGCUCCGCCCUAAAUCUU